Mustela erminea (ermine) is the source of this 537-nucleotide long non-coding RNA. RefSeq lists it as uncharacterized. The record is from RefSeq and is a predicted model, not a curated record. Lineage: Eukaryota; Metazoa; Chordata; Mammalia; Carnivora; Mustelidae. The transcript is spliced from 4 exons.
GCUUUUUGUUUAUAACAGGUGCCCCCCAGCCAAGUUUGCCCUUCUCUCCGUAGAAAAGCCUUUUUUUCUUUAAUCUCUUCGCUUGGCCAAGGUUUUGCUGUAGCUUGUGUGUCCCAAAUUGCAGUUCUCUGCUGUCCUCAAACCAUUUUGCUGGUAAAGCCACUGACAGUCUUAUUUUUAAGUCCCCAGUACAGGUACUGAUAUCACGGACACGGGCAAGCCAGGGAUGUGUCUUGCUUUUGUCUGGCCAAUGACCUGUGGCAGGAGACCGAGCCCCGUGGGUAAAUAAGGAUAACCUCCAUAGAAGGGUAUUGCGAAGACUGGUGACAAUGCCUAGUGCCUCCAAAAUAAAGCUUAUUGUUACAGAAAGCAUUGAAAAUAUAUACAGGCUGACACGCUGCCAUCAUGAAACUCUACGUACCCAUCACCCAGCCUCUGUAAGAGCCAACUCACAGAAAUGAAUUAUGGGUCAGCUUAUGUAAAGAAGAUAACCAGCCAACUUGUGUUCAAAGGGAGAAGACUUGCUUACAUAAAAAC